GGCCCAUGACGGUACCGUAAGAAUAAGCACCGGCUAACUACGUGCCAGCAGCCGCGGUAAUACGUAGGGUGCAAGCGUUAAUCGGAAUUACUGGGCGUAAAGCGUGCGCAGGCGGUUAUAUAAGACAGAUGUGAAAUCCCCGGGCUCAACCUGGGACCUGCAUUUGUGACUGUAUAGCUAGAGUACGGUAGAGGGGGAUGGAAUUCCGCGUGUAGCAGUGAAAUGCGUAGAUAUGCGGAGGAACACCGAUGGCGAAGGCAAUCCCCUGGACCUGUACUGACGCUCAUGCACGAAAGCGUGGGGAGC
Molecule: ribosomal RNA, 306 nt
Filed under: uncultured beta proteobacterium
Lineage: Bacteria; Pseudomonadati; Pseudomonadota; Betaproteobacteria
Description: bacterial SSU rRNA
Rfam family: Bacterial small subunit ribosomal RNA
Source: RNAcentral